GAUGAACGCUGGCGGUAUGCUUAACACAUGCAAGUCGAACGGACUCUUCGGAGUUAGUGGCGGACGGGUGAGUAACGCGUGAGAAUCUGGCUUUGGGUUCGGGACAACCACUGGAAACGGUGGCUAAUACCGGAUGUGCCGAGAGGUAAAAGAGAAAUUGCCUGAAGAUGAGCUCGCGUCUGAUUAGCUAGUUGGUGAGGUAAAGGCUCACCAAGGCAGCGAUCAGUAGCUGGUCUGAGAGGAUGACCAGCCACACUGGGACUGAGACACGGCCCAGACUCCUACGGGAGGCAGCAGUGGGGAAUUUUCCGCAAUGGGCGAAAGCAUGACGGAGCAAUACCGCGUGAGGGAAGAAGGCUCUUGGGUUGUAAACCUCUUUUCUUAGGGAAGAACAAAAUGACGGUACCUAAGGAAUCAGCAUCGGCUAACUCCGU
This 434-nucleotide ribosomal RNA is filed under the name uncultured bacterium. RNAcentral describes it as "partial 16S ribosomal RNA". It matches the Rfam family "Bacterial small subunit ribosomal RNA", at positions 28 to 506 of the family's 1533-position model. The record is from RNAcentral.